GCACAAGCGGUGGAUGAUGUGGUUAAUUCGAUGCAACGCGAAAACCUUACCCACCUUUGACAUGUACGGAAUCCUUUAGAGAUAGAGGAGUGCUCGAAAGAGAGCCGUAACACAGGUGCUGCAUGGCUGUCGUCAGCUCGUGUCGUGAGAUGUUGGGUUAAGUCCCGCAACGAGCGCAACCCUUGUCAUUAGUUGCUACAUUCAGUUGGGCACUCUAAUGAGACUGCCGGUGACAAACCGGAGGAAGGUGGGGAUGACGUCAAGUCCUCAUGGCCCUUAUAGGUGGGGCUACACACGUCAUACAAUGGAUGGUACAAGGGGUCGCCAACCCGCGAGGGGGAGCCAAUCCCAUAAAGCCAUUCGUAGUCCGGAUCGCAGCCUGCAACUCGACUGCGUGAAGUCGGAAUCGCUAGUAAUCGUGGAUCAGAAUGUCACGGUGAAUACGUUCCCGGGCCUU
This 457-nucleotide ribosomal RNA is filed under the name uncultured Acidovorax sp. RNAcentral describes it as "bacterial SSU rRNA". It matches the Rfam family "Bacterial small subunit ribosomal RNA", at positions 923 to 1382 of the family's 1533-position model. Lineage: Bacteria; Pseudomonadati; Pseudomonadota; Betaproteobacteria; Burkholderiales; Comamonadaceae. The record is from RNAcentral.